CAACAUAAUAACAAAAUUCGUAAUAAAUUUAGAAAUAAAAAAGGUAAAAUUGAUAGUUUAUUAAAUAAAAAAGAGAACGAUGAGAAAAGUGGUAUUAAUGACACGCACGUGAAUAAUGGAUUAACAAUUGACGAAACGAUAGAAGGAAGUAAAAAAAAGUAUACAAAUAAACAAAAAAAUAAAGAAAAAACGAAUAAAAAAAAAAAAGACGAUGGUAAAAUAGUAGGUAUAAUGAAAGAUAGACAAAAUAGCUUAGCUAAAGAAACGGACAUAAUAGAAGUAAUAGACAAAGAGUUUACUACUGGUAUUGACACUGACAUUGACACUGGGAUUGACACUGGGAUUGACACAGGCACUGCUACUGAUAUAAAUACUGGAACUACCAACAAACUUCUAAACUUUAACCAUGAUUUAAAAAGUAAUACCAUGGAUAAUACUGACAUAGAAAAGCUAGAAAAAGCCAAUCGUAAGUUAGAAGAAGAAAUAAAAAAGAGAAAAAAAGAUAUUGAAAAAAAAAAAAAAAAAAAAAAAGACCUUACUUAUAUAUACGAAAACCAACUAAAAACGUAUGAACAAUUAAAAGAAGAAAGAAGAAAUUUAGAUUUAGUUAAUUUAUGUUUAUAUAAAGAUAUAAAAUAUCAAAAAGAAAAUAUUUGUAGUUUAAAAAAAGAAAUAAAAGAGUUGGUCAAUGACAUCAAAAAAAUAAAUUCAGAAAACAAUAUGAUUAAUAAAGAAUAUUUAAACAAAGAAAAUGAAAUUAAUUGUACAAACCAUAAAAGAAAAAAUUUGAAAUCUUUAAUUAAUAAAGAAAAAAGUGACUUAAAAAAAGAACAAAAAGAAUUAAUAAUAUUAGAAAAUAUGAUAAACUAUUUAAAAAAACAAAAAAAUAAAGCAUUGGCAAUACAAAAUAAUUUAAAAAACAGAUAUGAUAUUACUAAUUCGGACCAUCAAAUGUUAAUAAAAAAUAUGUUAUACCUACAAAAAGAUUUAAAUAAAAUUGUUAACAAACGUCUGAAUGUACAAACUAUAAAAAAUCAAAAUAUUAUUUUAUUUAAUUCAUUAUCAAAUCAAAAUUCCUUGUUAGAAAGACAAAACAAUACUCAUACUCCCCUUACAAAUGCUACUAAUACUUUACCACAAAAUUAUAAUAUUACAGAUAAAUAUUGUGCCAUCAAUGACAAUCCGAUAGAUACUAGUAACGCUACACCCAACUAUUUUUAUAAAAGAUAUGUCGUGGAUGGAAAAGGAAUACCCAAUAACCAGGUAUAAACCGCCUGUACAUACUGUAACAUGUACUGUACUACGUUUUGCGGACUUCCUAUUCUGCUUUCUUUUUUACACUUUGCUUUUUAUAUAUUACAUUUGUGGUUAUUCACUGUGUCUCUCACAUUUUUAUCGAUUCUUUUUUUUUAUGUAUCUAUUAUGCACAUACUUACACAUAUUCACACAUAUUAACACAUACUCACUCACAUACUCACUCACAUACUCACUCAC
RNAcentral lists this long non-coding RNA (1494 nucleotides) under Piliocolobus tephrosceles (Ugandan red Colobus). RNAcentral's name for it is "lncRNA (ENSPTEG00000007241.1)". Lineage: Eukaryota; Metazoa; Chordata; Mammalia; Primates; Cercopithecidae. The record is from RNAcentral.